Molecule: ribosomal RNA, 526 nt
Filed under: uncultured bacterium
Lineage: Bacteria
Description: partial 16S ribosomal RNA
Rfam family: Bacterial small subunit ribosomal RNA
Source: RNAcentral
UGGGGAAUAUUGGACAAUGGGGGCAACCCUGAUCCAGCCAUGCCGCGUGUGUGAAGAAGGCCUUUUGGUUGUAAAGCACUUUAAGCAGGGAGGAGAGGCUAAUGGUUAAUACCCAUUAGAUUAGACGUUACCUGCAGAAUAAGCACCGGCUAACUCUGUGCCAGCAGCCGCGGUAAUACAGAGGGUGCGAGCGUUAAUCGGAAUUACUGGGCGUAAAGCGAGUGUAGGUGGCUCAUUAAGUCACAUGUGAAAUCCCCGGGCUUAACCUGGGAACUGCAUGUGAUACUGGUGGUGCUAGAAUAUGUGAGAGGGAAGUAGAAUUCCAGGUGUAGCGGUGAAAUGCGUAGAGAUCUGGAGGAAUACCGAUGGCGAAGGCAGCUUCCUGGCAUAAUAUUGACACUGAGAUUCGAAAGCGUGGGUAGCAAAACAGGAUUAGAUACCCUGGUAGUCCACGCCGUAAACGAUGUCUACUAGCCGUUGGGGUCCUUGAGACUUUAGUGGCGCAGUUAACGCGAUAAGUAGACCG